Molecule: ribosomal RNA, 458 nt
Filed under: uncultured bacterium
Lineage: Bacteria
Description: bacterial SSU rRNA
Rfam family: Bacterial small subunit ribosomal RNA
Source: RNAcentral
AACGAACGCUGGCGGCAUGCCUAACACAUGCAAGUCGAACGGGAUCCUAGCUUGCUAGGUGAGAGUGGCGGACGGGUGAGUAACACGUGGGAAUCUGCCUUUGGUUCGGGAUAACCGCGGGAAACUGCGGCUAAUACCGAAUGCCCUCGAGAGAGGAAAGAUUUAUCGCCAGAAGAGGAGCCCGCGUCCGAUUAGGUAGUUGGUGGGGUAAAGGCCUACCAAGCCGACGAUCGGUAGCUGGUCUGAGAGGAUGAUCAGCCACACUGGGACUGAGAUACGGCCCAGACUCCUACGGGAGGCAGCAGUGGGGAAUAUUGGACAAUGGGGGCGAACCCUGAUCCAGCAAUGCCGCGUGAGUGAUGAAGGCCUUAGGGUUGUAAAGCUCUUUUGCCAGGGAAGAUGAUGACUGUACCUGGAGAAUAAGCCCCGGCUAACUUCGUGCCAGCAGCCGCGGUAAU